This 247-nucleotide long non-coding RNA is filed under the name Vigna radiata. RNAcentral describes it as "long non-coding RNA (VRAD_LNC011714)". Lineage: Eukaryota; Viridiplantae; Streptophyta; Magnoliopsida; Fabales; Fabaceae. The record is from RNAcentral.
UGGGCGGUCCAAGGCGAGGAGAAGGCACCUAGCGUGGCGCUAGGCGGAUUUGCGAUUAGAGGCAAACCGCCGGGUGGUGGCCCCCUGCCGCCGGGCGGUUGAGCGAUUAGAGGCAAACCGCUGGGCGACAUAAGUGUGCCGUCGGGCGGUUGUCCGCUUGGCCUGGGCCUGUUUUCUGUGACGCUCCUCAGCUAUAAAUAGCCCUGUUACGAUUUCAUUCUUAUUCUUUUGACAGAAGAGGGUGGCC